RNAcentral lists this transfer RNA (69 nucleotides) under Acreichthys tomentosus. RNAcentral's name for it is "tRNA-Arg". It matches the Rfam family "tRNA". From Rfam's summary of the family: Transfer RNA (tRNA) molecules are approximately 80 nucleotides in length. The record is from RNAcentral. Lineage: Eukaryota; Metazoa; Chordata; Actinopteri; Tetraodontiformes; Monacanthidae.
AGACGAUUAGUUUAAUAAAAACCUUUGAUUUCGGCUCAAAUGCUUAUGGUUAAAGUCCAUAAUCGUCUU